AACGAACGCUGGCGGCAUGCCUAACACAUGCGAGUCGAACGAGACCUUCGGGUCUAGUGGCGCACGGGUGCGUAACGCGUGGGAACCUGCCCUUAGGUUCGGAAUAACUCCCCGAAAGGGGUGCUAAUACCGGAUAAUGUCUUCGGACCAAAGAUUUAUCGCCUUUGGAUGGGCCCGCGUUGGAUUAGCUAGUUGGUAGGGUAAAAGCCUACCAAGGCGACGAUCCAUAGCUGGUCUGAGAGGAUGAUCAGCCACACUGGGACUGAGACACGGCCCAGACUCCGAGGGGGGGGGGGGGUGGGGAAUAUGGGACAAGGGGCAAAAGCCGGACACAGCAGGGCGGGGGGGGGGAAGAAGGCGUUGGGGUUGUAAAGCGCUUUUACCCGGGAUGAAAAGAAAAGUACCGGGAAAAUAAGGCCCGGUUAACUGGGG
Molecule: ribosomal RNA, 432 nt
Filed under: uncultured bacterium
Lineage: Bacteria
Description: partial 16S ribosomal RNA
Rfam family: Bacterial small subunit ribosomal RNA
Source: RNAcentral